Molecule: ribosomal RNA, 434 nt
Filed under: uncultured bacterium
Lineage: Bacteria
Description: partial 16S ribosomal RNA
Rfam family: Bacterial small subunit ribosomal RNA
Source: RNAcentral
ACGCACGCUGGCGGCAUGCCUAACACAUGCAAGUCGAACGGGUACCUUCGGGUGCUAGUGGCGCACGGGUGCGUAACGCGUGGGAAUCUGCCCUUGGGUUCGGAAUAACUCAGCGAAAGCUGUGCUAAUACCGGAUGAUGUCGAAAGACCAAAGAUUUAUCGCCCGAGGAUGAGCCCGCGUUGGAUUAGCUAGUUGGUGGGGUAAAGGCCUACCAAGGCGACGAUCCAUAGCUGGUCUGAGAGGAUGAUCAGCCACACUGGGACUGAGACACGGCCCAGACUCCUACGGGAGGCAGCAGUGGGGAAUAUUGGACAAUGGGCGAAAGCAUGAUCCAGCAAUGCAGCGUGAGUGAUGAAGGCCUUAGGGUUGUAAAGCUCUUUUACCCGGGAUGAUAAUGACAGUACCGGGAGAAUAAGCUCCGGCUAACUCCGUG